GCUCGAGUGGUGGCCACUAUUACUGGGCUUAAAGCGUUCGUAGCUGGGUUGUUAAGUCUCUUGGGAAAUCUACCGGCUUAACCGAUAGGCGUCCAAGGGAUACUGGCAUUCUAGGGACCGGGAGAGGUGAGGGGUACUUCAGGGGUAGGAGUGAAAUCUUGUAAUCCCUGGGGGACCACCUGUGGCGAAGGCGCCUCACCAGAACGGCUCCGACAGUGAGGGACGAAAGCUGGGGGAGCAAACCG
This 245-nucleotide ribosomal RNA is filed under the name uncultured archaeon. RNAcentral's name for it is "partial 16S ribosomal RNA". It matches the Rfam family "Archaeal small subunit ribosomal RNA", at positions 482 to 726 of the family's 1478-position model. The record is from RNAcentral.